Molecule: long non-coding RNA, 529 nt
Filed under: Hordeum vulgare
Lineage: Eukaryota; Viridiplantae; Streptophyta; Magnoliopsida; Poales; Poaceae
Description: long non-coding RNA (HVUL_LNC014341)
Source: RNAcentral
CCGCAUCGUCACGGGCCUCAUCGAGAAGUACGUACGCAUGCAUUGCAUUGCGCGCGCUCUGUACGUAACCAUGGGCGGCGGGAACAAAGAGAUAACCAUGAUCGUUGGUUUCGUUUGGUUUGAUUUGGUUUGCAGGGCUACCGGCAAGAGCGCCCGUCUGGACCUGGAGCAAGAGGAGAAAGUUCUUUAGCCAUUUUCCUCCCGUUUGCGGUUAACAAGAAGAUGCGAUCGCGCAUCGCCGGCAUGCUGUUUGACUGAAUGUCGUAAUGUACUUCUGCCAAAAAUGAUAUGUUCUNNNNNNNNNNCCCUUCCGUUUGCGGUUAACAAGAAGAUGCGAUCGGGCAUCGUCGACAUGUUGUUUGACUGAAUGUCGUAAUGUACUUCUGCCAAAAAUGAUAUGUUCUUUUCCUGUUGUUCACAAUAUUCACAAAGACUGUUUUUCUCCAUUUUGCAACCUGUUUAGAACAGCUAGAGAAAACAAUCUAGCUAUAUAUAUGUAAGUCGCCUGAUUUCUAAAUGUGGGUAAGUC